UACGUAGGGUGCAAGCGUUGUCCGGAAUUACUGGGCGUAAAGAGUUCGUAGGCGGUUUGUCGCGUCGUUUGUGAAAACCAGCAGCUCAACUGCUGGCUUGCAGGCGAUACGGGCAGACUUGAGUACUGCAGGGGAGACUGGAAUUCCUGGUGUAGCGGUGAAAUGCGCAGAUAUCAGGAGGAACACCGGUGGCGAAGGCGGGUCUCUGGGCAGUAACUGACGCUGAGGAACGAAAGCGUGGGUAGCGAACAGGAUUAGAUACCCUGGUAGUCCACGCCGUAAACGGUGGGCGCUAGGUGUGGGUUCCUUCCACGGAAUCCGUGCCGUAGCUAACGCAUUAAGCGCCCCGCCUGGGGAGUACGGCCGCAAGGCUAAAACUCAAAGGAAUUGACGGGGGCCCGCACAAGCGGCGGAGCAUGUGGAUUAAUUCGAUGCAACGCGAAGAACCUUACCUGGGUUUGACAUAUACCGGAAAGCUGCAGAGAUGUGGCCCCCCUUGUGGUCGGUAUACAGGUGGUGCAUGGCUGUCGUCAGCUCGUGCCGUGAGAUGUUGGGUUAAGUCCCGCAACGAGCGCAACCCCUAUCUUAUGUUGCCAGCACGUUAUGGUGGGGACUCGUAAGAGACUGCCGGGGUCAACUCGGAGGAAGGUGGGGACGACGUCAAGUCAUCAUGCCCCUUAUGUCCAGGGCUUCACACAUGCUACAAUGGCCAGUACAGAGGGCUGCGAGACCGUGAGGUGGAGCGAAUCCCUUAAAGCUGGUCUCAGUUCGGAUCGGGGUCUGCAACUCGACCCCGUGAAGUCGGAGUCGCUAGUAAUCGCAGAUCAGCAACGCUGCGGUGAAUACGUUCCCGGGCCU
Molecule: ribosomal RNA, 858 nt
Filed under: uncultured bacterium
Lineage: Bacteria
Description: bacterial SSU rRNA
Rfam family: Bacterial small subunit ribosomal RNA
Source: RNAcentral